This 484-nucleotide ribosomal RNA is filed under the name uncultured bacterium. RNAcentral's name for it is "partial 16S ribosomal RNA". It matches the Rfam family "Bacterial small subunit ribosomal RNA", at positions 28 to 523 of the family's 1533-position model. The record is from RNAcentral.
GACGAACGCUGGCGGCGUGCUUAACACAUGCAAGUCGAGCGGUAAGGCCCUUUCGGGGGUACACGAGCGGCGAACGGGUGAGUGACACGUGGGUGACCUGCCCUCAGCUCUGGGAUAAGCCUGGGAAACUGGGUCUAAUACCGGAUAUGACCUCCUAUCGCAUGGUGGGUGGUGGAAAGUUUUUUCGGCUGGGGAUGGGCCCGCGGCCUAUCAGCUUGUUGGUGGGGUGAUGGCCUACCAAGGCGACGACGGGUAGCCGGCCUGAGAGGGGGACCGGCCACACUGGGCAUGGGACACGGCCCAGACUCCUACGGGAGGCAGCAGUGGGGAAUAUUGCGCAAUGGGCGAAAGCCUGACGCAGUGACGCCGCGUGGGGGAUGACGGCCUUCGGGUUGUAAACCUCUUUCGACCUUGACGAAGGCCUUCGGGUUGACGGUAGGGGUAGAAGAAGCACCGGCCAACUACGUGCCAGCCGCCGCCGUAA